This 379-nucleotide unclassified non-coding RNA is filed under the name soil metagenome. RNAcentral's name for it is "partial contains 5.8S ribosomal RNA, internal transcribed spacer 2, and large subunit ribosomal RNA". The stretch from base 1 to 120 matches the Rfam family "5.8S ribosomal RNA", at positions 35 to 154 of the family's 154-position model. The record is from RNAcentral.
GAUGAAGAACGCAGUGAAAUGCGAUAAGUAAUGUGAAUUGCAGAAUUCAGUGAAUCAUCGAAUCUUUGAACGCACAUUGCGCCCGCCAGUAUUCUGGCGGGCAUGCCUGUUCGAGCGUCAUUUCAACCCUCAAGCCCCAGCGGCCUGGUGUUGGGGACCGGCGACCUCGCCCGAGCCCGCCCUCCGGGGCGCGUGCCCGGUGCGUCCGCCGCCCCCGAAAUGAAUUGGCGGCCUCGUCGCGGCCUCCUCUGCGUAGUAGCACAACCUCGCAAGCGGGAGCGCGACGCGGCCACUGCCGUAAAACGCCCAACUUUUUUAGAGUUGACCUCGGAUCAGGUAGGAAUACCCGCUGAACUUAAGCAUAUCAAUAAGCGGAGGA